CGAGCUGCCGCGGCCGUCCUCCUCGCCCUCCGAGUCCGAGUCCUCGCCGUGGAUGAGGCGCACCAGCCCGAAGUGCACCGAGCCGCGGUCCAUCACCAGCUUUAAAUCCCAAGGGAAGGAAGAGACUCUCCUCUGAGAGCUCGGACAGUGUCUGCAGACCGGGAGACUGGGCCUGAAGGAUGCUGGAUCCUCUAAAGAUGACGUUGCCCUCAGACAGCAGGAAGUAAAUUUAAGAACACAACGCCCACAUUCCUAAUAUGUAGGGUAGGUGGUGUUUGGUCUUUCAAUGGGUUACGGAUAUUUGUCAUUGUUUAGGGUAGUUGGUUACAAGUUGUUGUUGGUAAUG
This is a long non-coding RNA of Peromyscus leucopus (white-footed mouse), 346 nucleotides long. RefSeq lists it as uncharacterized. The transcript has 3 exons. The record is from RefSeq and is a predicted model, not a curated record. NCBI's taxonomy places the organism in Eukaryota, Metazoa, Chordata, Mammalia, Rodentia, Cricetidae.